This 67-nucleotide transfer RNA is filed under the name Marmota monax (woodchuck). RNAcentral's name for it is "tRNA.Ala". The record is from RNAcentral. Lineage: Eukaryota; Metazoa; Chordata; Mammalia; Rodentia; Sciuridae.
GGUUGUGGCUUAGUGGUAGAGCGCUUACUUAGCAUACAUGAAGCACUGGGUUCGAUCCCUGGCACCA